RNAcentral lists this long non-coding RNA (3747 nucleotides) under Haliotis rufescens (red abalone). RNAcentral's name for it is "uncharacterized LOC124152095". Lineage: Eukaryota; Metazoa; Mollusca; Gastropoda; Lepetellida; Haliotidae. The record is from RNAcentral.
UUUGAUUGGACUAUGCAUAGACUCGUUAGUCCAGCCAAAAUGUAACUCCAUAAUACCAGCCUAGUUCGGCAAGGGUGGAAACUGGACUUGUAUAGUCAGUUAACUAACUUGCCUCGGAAAGAUGGAUAGUUGUCUAUGAUAAAGUGGUUAAUGGUAUAGUUGUGUACUUCUCUUAGCAUUGGUGUUAGUCAAUGUUAGUUCUGUCAAUGUCUGAUUUAUGAUCCAAAAGAUCUAAUGCUUGCUUUCUAGUUUUGUUGUUCUCAAAGACUAUUGUACCCUUCACUUUAACAUAAAACUAAAUGUUAUUCAUCUGUUUCAUCAUUGUUUAAACAUGUAACCCACAUCUGACCCCACGUGCACAAAGGGACUUCAGUGAUUCAGCUGUCUCUUCUGAAAGACGGUGCAAUGAUCAUUUUGAGCAGGUGAUCCAGAGCCACAAAGUGAUCUUAGUAUUAAGAUGAUCAACUUCCUUACUUUAACAUGGAGUAAUGAUACAGCUGAGAUUGUUGUGUUGCCCUUGAAGAUCCGGGGCCCCGUUCCUCAAAGCGAUCUUAGCGCUACGAUGAUCGUAAGCCUGUGUUAAAGUAUGGGACUUACGAUCACCAUAGCGCUAAGAUCGCUUUGAGGAACAGGGCCCAGGACUUCAGCAGCCGAUGCUUGUCGUAAGAAGCGACUAACGGCAUCAGGUGGUCAGACUCACUGACUUCGUUCAUGCAUGUCAUCAUAUCCAAAUUGUGUAAAUCGAUGCUCAUGAUGUCAAUCCCUGGGUUGAAUGGUCUAGAUUUGAUUAAUUACAGACUGCUGUCAUACAGCUGGAAUAUUGCUGAGUGCGGCAUUUAACAACAAAUAAUCAAACAGAUUGUGUAGUAGAAAAGCAGCCAAGGCCAAGUUCCACUAAGCAAUCUUGGCAUUGUGACUCAUUGGUCAAUGUUAAUAUAUGGGUUUUACAAUUGUCUUAAGGCUAUGAUCACUUUGUAUAACAGGACCAUGUUGGACAGAGCCAUCUCCAUGAUCCCUUCUAACUUGCAUAAAUUAACAUUGACUUGCAACAGCCUUAGCAAUAAGAUGGCUUUGAACAUUGAUUAGGGACUGGUCAUAUACUAUAGGGAGUAGGUGGGUCAUGAAAAAAUGCUACAUGAAGGGGGAGGGGAAGGGGCAAAAAAUGAUCUGGUCCGUAGGCUAAUUCCUUCCCUCCCCCUAUAGUAAAUUACCAGUCCCGGAGAUGGCUUUGUGUAACAAGUCCCUGCUGCUGCAUUGAUCCUGAGUGGCCCAGUGACCAGCUCACACCUCUCCCCAACACUCAUAUGCAUCUACUUACAACUUGACCUGUAUAUUGGAUGGUUGUCUCAUUAUCCUUUGAUAGACUCAAUCCUCACAUAAGGUGCUUACAAUCUGCAUUUUGUACUUUACAUACAAGUAUUUUCUAUAUGUUUUGUGAACCCUAAGAUUUAUCUAGAUACAUACUGAUUCAGUGUCGCAAUGUCACAGUAUAUAUAGUUAUGGAUGUCACACACAACCCUUGGGUCUUCUCUCUGGAAGGCUGUAGAUAGAAUGUGCAUGAUCCUCUGCCAGCACUAGUCCCGGUAGAUAGAGAAGAAACAGUCCUUGCAAUGCAACAAGCACACUUAAAAGCAGUCACUGCACCGUUUGAUUUAUUUAUUCCACCUCACCUACUUACAAUGAUGUCAUGUAUGCAUGUUGCCAGAUCUUACCUCAGUGUGAUAAAGAACAAAACUAGGAACCUGGAAGUCCCACUCCGGAGUUGUUGGAAUUAUAGAUCAGAAUGGGUCCUCAAGACUCUCCUAACAGAACCUUUGUGGAGAUUCCAGGUCAGAAAGGUCACAGACUCUCUCCAUCAAGAAUCUCUGUAGGGAUUCCGGGUCACAAACACUCUCUAAUAAGAAACUCUGUAGGGAUUCUAGGUCAAAAUAGGUCCGAAACGCUCCCUCCAAAGUACCUCCAACGGGAUUCCAGGUCAAUAUUGGUCAGAAACACUCUCAACCAAGAACCUGUUGUAUUUCCAGGUCAGAAUAGGUCAGAAACACUCUCAACCAAGAACCUGUUGCGAUUCCAGGUCAGAAUAGGUCGGAAACACACUCUACCAAGAACCUGUUGCGAAUCCAGGUCAGAAAAACUCUCUGCCAAGAACCUGUUGCGAUUGCAGGUCAGAAUAGGUCAGAAACGCUCUUUACCAAGAACCUGUUGCGAUUCCAAACAAACAGGGUAUUUAUCUGAAGGUUGUAUGUUUCACAACCUCUUACCUCAACUCUUGAGAGCAUCCAUCAACCCAUUUUACCCUGCAUGUAGAUCCUGCUACAGGGUUCCCCAUUUUGCAUUCUCGAUAUAAACACAGGAUGUAUGAAAGGUUAUGCUGGUAAAAAUUAAUUAAUCUGUGAAAGACAUAUCAUUUAAUCUUUGAGGGUCUAUAGGUAGCCUGGGUUGGAUUCAAUACACUGGAAUAUACUGUGAAGAUUAUUCUUGGUGUCUCUUGCUGUGAUUUGGCUGGAAUAUUGCUGAAACGGAAUGAAACCACUCCGCAACCCAGGGCCAGCCACUCCGCAACCCAGGGCCAGCCACUCCGCAACCCAGGGCCAACCACUCCGCAACCCAGGGCUAACCACUCCGCAACCCAGGGCUAACCACUUUGCAACCGAGGGCUAACCACUCCACAACCCAGCACCUGGUUGAUGUUUUCUCACACCCUGUAGAUGUUCCUCUUAUCAGGCAAAGGUGUGGUCGGAUAGCCUAGUGGUCAAAGCAUUCGCUCGUCACACCGAAGAUCCGGGUUCGACUCCCAACAUGGGUACAAUGUGUGAAGCCCAUUUUUGGUGUCCCACGCCAUGAUAUUGCUGAAAUAUUGCUAAAAGUGGCAUAAAACCAUACUCACUCACUCCUAACUCUUAACUCUUAUCAGGCAAGAGUUUGUCUGUACCAGAUCCAAUAACACAUCUCAGACCACAGGCAGUCUUGGUGUCAGGAACCCCCCUUUUGAAAACCUAAUGUUGUAGGCAGUAACAUUAUCUGAGAGAGGAUUUCGAUAUUUUGGACCCCCCCCCCCUUUAAAAAUGCUGGAUCCACCCUUGCAAACUGGUAGCUAACAAUGGCAUGAAACACCACUCACUCACUGUUGAAAUCUGUUCAAUGCACUUGAUUUAAGCCAAAUGUUUAUUCACUCUCCGCACAUGAAAUAGUAAAUGCCACCCAUGUUUGGAAGGAUACUUAAGUUUUGAACGUUUGCUGCACAACACUGAAUGACAGUACACGGAAAGAAAGUUGCACCAGAAUACUGGUGUCACACUCACAAAUGCAAAUUGCACCGAACUAGUUUUAACCGGACAACAUGAUGAACAGACAAGCAAACUCUGCAUGGCAUGACAGACGCGUGUCUGUAACUUCACUGCACUGCACCACAGACUCCACAGUGGAAUACACCAGCCCAUGAAACUUGCUGCUGGAUUAACCUGGGAUACCCUUUAUUGUUACCAUGGCAACUGUUCAAAGAACGGAUGCAGGAUGCACGACACCGUACCCCUUUCCCGACUCGCACCAUGGUACGUACUUAUCACUGCGCAUGACAACACUGCACGGAUACCACCGAACUAUGCACCUUGCCAUUUACAUGCAGCCGCAGUUCCUUGCUUGAUAUGUGGAGUCAUCGGAAACAUUCUCGGAAUGUGCCCGAGUACAGGGUAUAACUGCAUUGAGAUGGCAUGAACAACUGAUGCAAUAAACACAUUACAACACUGA